AGUCUAUGAUGAUCCUAUCCCAAAUCUGAAUUCCUGUUGAAAAACCACAGUUAUGGAUCUGGACUUUGAGAU
Apodemus sylvaticus (European woodmouse) is the source of this 72-nucleotide small nucleolar RNA. RefSeq annotates it as small nucleolar RNA SNORD50. The transcript has a single exon. The record is from RefSeq and is a predicted model, not a curated record. Lineage: Eukaryota; Metazoa; Chordata; Mammalia; Rodentia; Muridae.